GACGAACGCUGGCGGCGUGCUUAACACAUGCAAGUCGAACGGAAAGGCCUGCUUUCCCUUGUGGAUUGCGGGUACUCGAGUGGCGAACGGGUGAGUAACACGUGAGUGAUCUGCCCCCAACUUGGGUAUAAGCCUGGGAAACUGGGUCUAAUUCCCGAUAGGACUGCAGGGUGGUGCCUGUGGUGGAAAACGAUUUUCUAGUGGUUGGGGAUGAGCUCGCGGCCUAUCAGCUUGUUGGUGGGGUAAUGGCCUACCAAGGCGGCGACGGGUAGCCGGCCUGAGAGGGUGGACGGCCACAUUGGGACUGGGUUACGGCCCAGACUCCUACGGGAGGCAGCAGUGGGGACUAUUGCACAAUGGGCGGAAGCCUGAUGCAGCGACGCCGCGUGGGGGAUGACGGCCUUCGGGUUGUAAACUCCUUUCGACCGCGAGGAAGCCACCUGGUUGGAAGGGUGGUGACGGUAGUGGUAGAAGAAGCACCGGCUAACUACGUG
This 494-nucleotide ribosomal RNA is filed under the name uncultured bacterium. RNAcentral describes it as "partial 16S ribosomal RNA". It matches the Rfam family "Bacterial small subunit ribosomal RNA", at positions 28 to 507 of the family's 1533-position model. The record is from RNAcentral.